This is a long non-coding RNA of Triticum urartu, 3609 nucleotides long. RefSeq lists it as uncharacterized. The record is from RefSeq and is a predicted model, not a curated record. NCBI's taxonomy places the organism in Eukaryota, Viridiplantae, Streptophyta, Magnoliopsida, Poales, Poaceae.
GUUGAUUUUACUGUGCGUUUUUACUAUGCAAGGAAAGAGGAAAAAGAAAUGGCCUCGCAGGCACGCCUAUCCCUCCCGUUUCUCUCGAGCGCUCUCUCUCUCUCUCGAUCCUCUCUCGGCCGCCGGCCGAUUCCGGCCGUUGCCGGCGGUCUCCGGCGCCGCCCAGCACUCCCUCAUGUUCUCCUCGAUCCGGCCUAUCUCCUCCACCAACUCGAUUCGACGCUCGCCUCCUCCUUGUGCGCCCGUGCCUAACCCUAGCCGCCACUGUCGCAAGCGCACGGCGCCGUCAUGGACGCCGGCGCGGCUCCGGCGCCCCUGGCGCUCAUCCUUGACGCCUCCUGCCCGCUCUCGCGCGUCACCGAGGCCGUCGGCCUGGAGUCAUGCCCCGACGCACGUGGCAGCUCACACCAGGCCAUCAGGGCCGCCUACGCCGUUGAGUCCACCAAGCCGCUUGACCACGACGCCGGCUGCAGCGACUCCCGUCCCAGUCCAUCCUCGUCCCUGUCUCUGGUCGGCAUGUAGUUGGAGUGGAGGAUCUUGGAUUUGAGUACGUGAGGGAGGAGGAGCAAGACAAAAUUGAUAAGGCAAGAAUUGUUUUCCUCUCAAUUCAGGUUUCUGUUGCACCUCCAAAAUUCUAACUAAGAUAUAAGUGUGUUUAGGUCAGAUUUAAGGGUGUUGUUUAACCUGAACUUAGUGUUGGGAAUUGGUUCCUCAUGAAUUUUACCUACCUCAUCAGUAUCAUGUGAUCUAUUUAUCCAAAUCUAUGCCGUGGUCUCCUAUUUCUCUUUUGCGUGUUGGAAGAACCAAAUUUUGCUCCUGAAAAUGCAAUAUCGGUUUUAAGAAUUGAGAAAUUGAAAGAUUUGUGUGCUAUCAAAGUGCCUCGUUAAGUGAUUUGCUUAAAAAUGUGUAAGUUGGCAGCUCUUCAUUCUUUAACUGUCAUAUUUCACUCUUGUUUAAAAGUUGUUAACUGAUAGCAGUGCCUUCUCUAUUGUUAUUUUCGAGACGCAAGACUCUGAUGCUCACGAAGAAGAAGCUUGUUCCAUCAAAAUCUUGGAAGAUGGGAAGUCUAGGUGCGAGUGGUACACUAAUUAUGCCGAGCUGUAUUUCGAAGUGUCCUCUCUUUAGUGCUGAUGAUCCGUCAUCCAUGAAUACCGUGUAGUCAGAUAAUGCGUGCACAUACGUGCAGAGUAGACAGAGAGGAGCCUUGCCUUCUUAUGAACAUGGAUAGGUUGUCGUAUAACAGAGGGUGAGAGCUAAGCUACUUCCAAUGAGUUGAGAGAAGAUGCGGAAAUCAUAUUCAUGUUCGUUCAUAAAAUUUGAGGAGUUUGCUGAUACUUCAUCUGGGAGUGGUGUCCCUUCGUCAGUAGCAGCAGCAACAAUCCUGGAAUUGCCACGGCUGCAUGCUGAAGUCUGCAAUUCGAUGUUCUUUUGUUGACGUGGGCUUUCAUCAGAUUGUUGUGCAGCAAGGUUGACUUUUUUUGAGUGAAGAAACCUGAUAUUGGAGUAACAAUAGGUUUGGCUGGGAGCAACUUUUUGGAUGGUAUAGUGUCCAUGGUUUAAAUAGUAGUGGCCGGAUAGCAGUAGCAGUUGACACUUGAUGGCUAGAAGGCUUAUGGAUGUGAACUCCAGAUUCAAACUUUGCUUUUCAUGCUUUUUGUUUGCAAGCCUUGUUUCUUAUGGUCUGUGUUCAGAGUCACCUUCAUACGACAUGAGUCAAGUCUGGGAUAUGAGGGGCAGUACGAUGCAUGCAUAGUGCCUAAGAAUGCCAAGUGACCAGUGGGAUGCCCUUCAAGAAAAUUCAUCUCCAUUAAGGACCUACAAGAGAUCAAACUUUUUGAUUCCAGGGACUGGUGAAGCACAAAAAGUGACACAGGGCUCUGUUGCUAAAGGAAAAAUUAUGCAACAAACUUCAACAUUCGUGGCACUGCCUAAUACAUGAUUUUUUGACGAGAGAGACUUGAUUCUUGUGGCUGCACAUAAUGCAGUUAACCAGUGCAAAUACUAUUAUUCCGAUGCAAAUUUGAUCCAAAGUAACUGUGGCAUAAUGGUUUUAAUGUCAAAGGCAGAGGCAUCUUGUCUUUGUCUUUGGUGAGUAUAGUCAACAUAGCAACUCACAUGCAUUGAUAUAUAUGUACAAAUCUAUGCCGUGGUAUAUAUAUGGGUGAAGAAUAACUUAUUCCUCACCCUGGUCGAUAGACUGGCGGACACGGGCUCAAAUAAACCAACACAUAGCUCUACUGACGUAAAAUUCUACUGGUGCCGUAGUAAUUUUACUUUUCGCCGAUCGGUUAGCUGGUCGUGGGGAUUAGGAGGAGAUUCCACUCCCGUUCCUUUCAUAUAUUUUUGGAAAAAAAAUGUUUCAAGUCUUGAGCGAGAUUAGUGCCUGGCGAGCGGCUUCCCUCGGUGCUGGCGGCCAACUUCCCGUUCUAUUUAGUUCGGGCGAUUCGGUGAGCAGUCAGCGUGGUGAUCGGCGGGCAGGCGGGGCAAUGUGGCGGCUGGCCUCGAUGUCGGCCGCCUUGUGGUGGUCGUGGCGGCUCUGUGGUGGGUGGGUGUGCAGGUGCCGUACUGACUACUGAGUCUUAUCUUUUUGUUGAGGAUUUGUAUUUUAUUUUCUGCCGAUCGAGUGUUCCACUUCCACGUAUUCUGCCCGGAACCGCGGCAGUCAGGAAGAAGACGGAGAAAAUUCGUCCUGGGAAGUAGGCAGUAGUAGCUGACGCGGACGAGGAGGCGUGGAAAUUGGGUGCACCAACGGGGAGAAGCCAGCGCCUCUCCUAGCCGUGGAGAGUGGCAGCAGCCAUAGCACCCCAUUGAGGUGCAGCUUGUGUUUCAGAUCCAAUUCUGAGUGUCGUGCGUGGGUUUGAGUGAGUCAAUGAUGUGUCUAAUACCAAUCUUCCAAUGGAGGAAGCCGCGAGAUAGCUGCUGGCGCAUGGGAGGAUGUGAGCAACCCUAAUCCUGUGGUUUAAUUUCCACUUUGUUUCUCUGCCAGUAAAUUUCCACUGGAGGAAGCCGCAAGGGCGCGGGUGGGGAGCGCAUGGGAGUGUUAGUGGUGCGUGGAUUAAGAUUUCAGUCAUGGGUGACUUUGCCUGGAUGCUUGUAAAAUUGGUCACUUGGACAUCAGAGGCAUUGUGAUGCCGAGGAUCUUGUAGAGGAUUUAGGAAAGUGAAUUGCAAUAUUAUUGAAGCAAAAUUGGUGAAGUUCGAUGAGGAUUCGAAAUGGCGUGCAACCUACUUACACAUAGAUGAUUUCUAGAGAUUUUUCCUUCAAAAAUUGGAAAUGCUCUUGGUACUGAAGAUAACGUUCUGACAAAGAAGCGGGUAUCACUUAUUUUGUGGCAAAGAUGCAGACCGCAAGAUCAAACUAAGCCUUCCAUGAGUCUCAUUUUUUGAAGCUCUCACAGAGAAGUUAAGGCUCUAUUAGCAUGUUAUGUAGGAAAGUUAUAAUCAUUGUAUUAGAAAAGCCUCAAAUGCUCCUCUCACCAUGGUGAAAAAGUUGUGAAUGAUCUAUAGAGAUUUUUAAUGUAAGUGCAUGGUUGUCAAUGAGCUUAAUCUUUUGUAAAUCCAACAAGAUCCUACCGAUGCAGUUCUAUUAAGUAUAUUCUUUCUUUUUUGA